Cynoglossus semilaevis (tongue sole) is the source of this 1752-nucleotide long non-coding RNA. RefSeq lists it as uncharacterized. Lineage: Eukaryota; Metazoa; Chordata; Actinopteri; Pleuronectiformes; Cynoglossidae. The transcript is spliced from 3 exons. The record is from RefSeq and is a predicted model, not a curated record.
CUUUCCUCCUCCAUGCUCCAUCAGGGUCCCCCCUCCUCUCGCCAUGCAUCGACUCCCACUUCACUCCAGCAAGAAAGCGUCCGCUUACUACUCAUGAGACACACACACACGUGCUCACAUGUGUGCUUGUAGCCGUUUUUUCACCUGAUACUGAAACAGCAUUUGGACUCUGAAAGUCUUUGAACGCACCGCGUUGGACUUCAUUGUUCUGCACCAUCGCGUUCACUGAACCAGCACCUUCUUAAAGGCACUAAUGUGUAAGAACCUGUUCUGUACUGUAUAUACUGUAACACUGACAUGUGUGUGUGAGAGACUACUGUAAUUUAAACAUGCACUAAACACAGGUUGUCACAGCACUAUGGUUUUGAUAGCUACUGUUUGUGUAGACAUUAGGCGUUUUGAUACAUCUUUUUGAUAGUAGAUCUGUAUUUUUCACUCCUGAGGUUUAGUGAACUCAUAAUGGACUGUGAAAUAGUGUAGAACACAAACACUGGUGUUAAUGUUUUGGGUUUUUUUUUUUUCUUCUUCAAAAUAGAACAGAUUACCCGUGUUAUUAGAUUCUUGGGCUGCGGUCAAGACGUCCCCUAAUUUAUUUUCUCUGUUUAAGUUCUCUGAUCAAAAAAGCAUAACGUCAAAGAAAAUAUAGUUCUGUUACACUUUGCAUGACUUUGUGGCGCUCCGAAUAAAUCUUUGAUUUUGAAUGUAGUUGUUGACAUUAUGCGUCAUCACUGUACAGUUUACAGAAUAAUAUACUUUGUGCUUGAUGUCCAGGUUCUCCACAUAUAUACACAGUGUUAUUUGGCGGUUGUUUUAAGUUUUAUUUUACAGUAGAAGACUUUAAAAUCCUGAUGGCUGUCACUCACAGCUAAUGUUUAAAACCAAAUCAAUUUUGUUCUUCAAAUAUUUGAAAAAAUGUCACACAAGAAUCAAGGCUGCAAUUUUCUUCCUAAUAAGAGAAUAAAAUAAGGAGCUUCAUUUGUUUGGAAAUUAGUAUUAUAAAAAUCUAUAUAAAGAAGAUAUUGGUAGUAUCCUUGCAGCGUUACAUACAGUAUUAGAGUGGUACAUUUUGGUAAUAUAAUAAUAAGAAGUCAUUUUAAAAUAACCAGGACUGUGAACAUAAAACUUAAAAUAAAAUUCCACAAGACAAACAUUUUACUCCAUACACUACAUUUUAAGUAUAUAACAAGAAACUAUUACAAAAGACAGGUUUACUGAACAAAUGUAAUUUAAAUAAAUAAACUGUAGCAGCAUAAUAGAUAUUUACAAAUAAACACUUUUUCUUCUUUAAAAAAUAAAAUUAAAUGAGGUGUCCUCUUUUAUCAGACUUGUUUGUUAAAUGAGUUGAAUAGCCUGAAUAUUUAGCAUUUAAAGAACUCUAAACGUCGUUGCCUCAUUGAAUUGUUGGUUAGUGUUAGCACAGGUGCCACAUCGCUAUCCCAAGCAGGGAACUAGCAUAGAACAAAACAAAAAGUUAGUUUUUGUUGUUGGUUCUGCAAAUAAUAUUAAGCUGACUAAAUUAUUUAUGCUCAAUCUAAUUAAAGCAAAAAUAUUUAUGGGUUUUAUUAGCUGCUACAUGAAAUACAGUGAAAAAAGGUUAACUAUUUCAUAAACGUAUGAAAUUCUGUAUAAAGUAACAUUUUAAAAAGUUUAAAAAAAAACUCUACUCUACUACAGUUCAGUACAAUGUAUUUCAUUUGCUACAUGCAACAGGAAAACGUAUUUUACUUGUGUGAGUGUGAGAAUACCUGUUGC